Unclassified non-coding RNA from Pongo abelii (Sumatran orangutan), 148 nucleotides. It matches the Rfam family "Metazoan signal recognition particle RNA". Rfam says of the family: The signal recognition particle (SRP) is a universally conserved ribonucleoprotein. It is involved in the co-translational targeting of proteins to membranes. The record is from Ensembl. Lineage: Eukaryota; Metazoa; Chordata; Mammalia; Primates; Hominidae.
GCCAGGCAUGGUGGUGCGUGCCUGUAAUCCUAGCUACUCGGGAGGCUGAGGCAGGAGAAUCGCUUGAACUCGGGAGGUGGAGGUGGCAGUGAGCCAAGAUCAUGCCACUGUACUCCAGCCUGGGAGACAGAGUGAGACCCUGUCUCUA